RNAcentral lists this ribosomal RNA (459 nucleotides) under uncultured bacterium. RNAcentral's name for it is "partial 16S ribosomal RNA". It matches the Rfam family "Bacterial small subunit ribosomal RNA", at positions 338 to 795 of the family's 1533-position model. The record is from RNAcentral.
CCUACGGGUGGCAGCAGUGAGGAAUAUUGGUCAAUGGGCGGAAGCCUGAACCAGCCAAGUAGCGUGCAGGAUGACGGCCCUACGGGUUGUAAACUGCUUUUAUACGGGAAUAACGCGCCUUACGUGUAGGGCUUUUCAUGUACCGUAUGAAUAAGGACCGGCUAAUUCCGUGCCAGCAGCCGCGGUAAUACGGAAGGCCCGAGCGUUAUCCGGAUUCAUUGGGCUUAAAGGGAGCGUAGGCGGGCGUUCAAGUCAGCUGGAAAAUCGCGGGGCUCAACCGCCCCCCGCAGUUGAAACUGGACGCCUUGAGUUCACAACAGGCAGGCGGAAUUCGUGGUGUAGCGGUGAAAUGCAUAGAUAUCACGAGGAACCCCGAUUGCGAAGGCAGCCUGCCGGGGUGCGACUGACGCUGAGGCUCGAAGGUGCGGGUAUCAAACAGGAUUAGAUACCCUUGUAGUC